Molecule: non-coding RNA, 45 nt
Filed under: Schistosoma mansoni
Lineage: Eukaryota; Metazoa; Platyhelminthes; Trematoda; Strigeidida; Schistosomatidae
Source: RNAcentral
AUCCGGCUGAUGAGUCCCAAUUAGGAUGAAACGUGCGUCCUGGAU